RNAcentral lists this ribosomal RNA (269 nucleotides) under uncultured bacterium. RNAcentral describes it as "partial small subunit ribosomal RNA". It matches the Rfam family "Bacterial small subunit ribosomal RNA", at positions 26 to 285 of the family's 1533-position model. The record is from RNAcentral.
AGAGCGAACGCUGGCGGCGUGCUUAACACAUGCAAGUCGAACGCGCAGCAUUCUGUAGCAAUACAGGGUGUGGGCGCGUGGCGAACGGGUGCGUAACACGUGGAUAACCUUCCUUGAGGUGGGGAAUAACCCAGUGAAAAUUGGGCUAAUACCGCAUAACAUCGCGAUGGCACAUGCUGAUGCGAUCAAAGGCGCAAGUCGCCACAAGAGGGAUCCGCGGCCGAUUAGCUUGUUGGCGGGGUAAUGGCCCACCAAGACGAUGAUCGGUA